UAGUUAGAUAGAAAAUGUACAGAAAACUGUGGGUCUUCUGAAGACAACAGAGAUGGGAGAUCAUCUAUCUGCCAUACUUCUGCUUUGUCUGUCUAUCUCUUGAUAGCAAGUCAAUAAAAAUGAUUAGAGUUGGCACCUCACAGAAUCUACACCCUUAAACCAUGAAGCUAUAAUACUGUGGAGGCUUCCCCCCCCCCCCGCCCCGACCUUUUCAAAUUACAUUCAAGUAUCUGGGGAAUUUCUCAGCGACUAGAGGUAAUAAGGUUCAAUCCAUUUUGCUAGUUGGCUUCAAAUUCAGCUCCUCAGAAGCCUUAACUUAUCUAUUCUUUUUAUCUUGGCCUUGGCAUCUAUUCAUGGCUGUAAUCCAUGCAUCUAAUCUUGUGGGGUUUUUUUUCUUCUUCCCUUCUCAGGUUUUGCUGGCUGAUCACACUGUGAAAACUACAACUAUGAAAGGCCCUCCAUUUAUUGCGCUCUCUGCAAUUGUGCUAUUAGCAUGGGAGGCUAAACUGGAGGCUAAUAAUGAAGGAGUCAGUGAAGGAGGCCAGUGUCAUGAGGGUUAUCUCAUGGCCCCAGAUGCUGGAUAAGUUGAAGAAGGCAGAAUCUCUUUUGGAAGACAUUCAGGUCUGAAUGAUUAUUUGGCGAAGAAAAGACUAUUCUUCCCAAGGUUCUUCCCCUUCUGUGUGUCAAUGAGCUUUCAGCAGUACAUUUCUGAGACAAAAGAUCCACUCUGGUCCCAGCCACACCUAAAGGAAAGCUUUGAAGGAAUUGCCAUGUUCACUUUUAAUAAUGAGAGAAAAAUUACCCACAUGGAGUCACCAGAAAAUGAAAAAGUAGCAUGCCUACUGCGAAUAAUUCCAGCAAGUGCCAAGGGGCUAGUUGAGAAAUGGCUUCGUGAGGUGAAUAUCUUUAGCUGUUACUUGGGGUUUUGUAACUAUACAAUCAUUUUCUCUUUUAGGAGCCAUGAAUUUAAACAUGUUUAAGUAUAAGCAUAUUUUCUAGGCUAAAUGGCUGUCAGAACUCUGUCACAAUGUUGAAAGGCCAGAUAUCAUCCUUAUUACUGUUAUUUAUGGUAACUAAUUCAAUUUAUGCAAAUAUGCACAAAUAGCCACCAAAAGGCUCCCAGGGUGGGAGACUUAAUAAAUGUGUGUGUCUGAAAGCAUCUA
Long non-coding RNA from Heteronotia binoei (common prickly gecko), 1163 nucleotides. RefSeq lists it as uncharacterized. The record is from RefSeq and is a predicted model, not a curated record. Lineage: Eukaryota; Metazoa; Chordata; Lepidosauria; Squamata; Gekkonidae. The transcript is spliced from 3 exons.